UAGGGAAUCUUCGGCAAUGGGGGCAACCCUGACCGAGCAACGCCGCGUGAGUGAAGAAGGUUUUCGGAUCGUAAAGCUCUGUUGUAAGAGAAGAACGUGUGUGAGAGUGGAAAGUUCACACAGUGACGGUAACUUACAAGAAAGGGACGGCUAACUACGUGCAAGCAGCCGCGGUAAUACGUAGGUCCCGAGCGUUGUCCGGAUUUAUUGGGCGUAAAGCGAGCGCAGGCGGUUUAAUAAGUCUGAAGUUAAAGGCAGUGGCUUAACCAUUGUUCGCUUUGGAAACUGUUAAACUUGAGUGCAGAAGGGGAGAGUGGAAUUCCAUGUGUAGCGGUGAAAUGCGUAGAUAUAUGGAGGAACACCGGUGGCGAAAGCGGCUCUCUGGUCUGUAACUGACGCUGAGGCUCGAAAGCGUGGGGAGCAAACAGG
RNAcentral lists this ribosomal RNA (429 nucleotides) under bacterium. RNAcentral's name for it is "partial 16S ribosomal RNA". It matches the Rfam family "Bacterial small subunit ribosomal RNA", at positions 355 to 776 of the family's 1533-position model. The record is from RNAcentral.